Molecule: long non-coding RNA, 396 nt
Filed under: Pongo abelii (Sumatran orangutan)
Lineage: Eukaryota; Metazoa; Chordata; Mammalia; Primates; Hominidae
Description: lincRNA
Source: RNAcentral
AUGGCGACCGAUGCGUCCCGCGCUCUGGGCGAAGACCGCGGCCCCGCCCCCGCGCCUCCACAGCCUUCUCCCAGGAGGAGGGGCCGUGCGGCGCCUGCCCGGGGGCUCUCAGGCCGCAGGCGGGCGCGAACUUCGGGGAACUUAGGGGGCUCCUGCCCUCCGGCCGUGCGAGCGGGAACAGUCUCCUCCACUCGGAGCGCCACUCAUCAUGCCUUACCUGGAUGAUGCAGAAGUCCCUGGAAACAGAAGGUCUCACCCUUCUUUAUCUUUCUCAUGGCUUUCCAAGGCUCUUUAUCAUGUUACUUUCCUGCUCAGAAUUCUUUAAUGACUUGCCUCAAUGACCAGAUAUAUGUGAUCUACAGUCAGCCUUCCAGCCUCAUCAUUCCUCUUCCAUUU